UGUAAUAAAUAUUAGAAUAAAAUAAAUUUUCUUAUAUUAUCCAUAACUUUUACUUACUGAUCCUCAUUUUUGUGUUUGCAUGUGAAAUUCGUCCGGGUCCUCAUGGACUCUAUCCUCGCACUUUCCUUUGGGCCACAGAGGCCCAUAUUCCCUUUUAUCGGAGUCAUUCAGAUAUUAAAAUCGACGAACAGGUCCCGAAAUUGAAAGAAAAGCGGAGCAAAUCGGGAGUUGAAAAAGAUUGGGCCAAAAGCCCUACCUUUAUUUAUUCGAAAUUGUAUUUUGUUAUUAUUGGGCCUAAGCCCUUGUCAUUUUAUUUACUAUUACUUGUUAGUUCCUAGGACAGGUGGAGAAAUUGGGCUUAAGGUCCAAAAGAAAGAUAUUCAUUUCAUGUUAGACUAGGACAGGUGCAGGUGACUCAAUGGGCCGAAAGCCCAAAACGAAAGUGGGCCCAAAUAUUGGCCCAGGCGGACAGAAAAACCAGAUUUGGGCCCAAAUCUCUUUUAAUCCUUCUUUGUUGUGUUUGUGUGCUCGUUAAAAUUUUCCACUAACCUUAAGGUCGAAAAUUCAAAUCCCCAGAAAAUAUCAUUUUGAAUUAAUCACUUAACUAAAUCAUUCGUUUCUUACUCGACUUAAAAUAAAUAAAUAAAUAAAUAAGUUUAUGAAAUACUUCACUUAGAUAAUAUUUCAUUAUUUUUUCUAUUAAAAUAGGUCUCAACUAUAAAGUAGUUCACUUUUGCAAUUCAAGUUAAGUCAAUUAGUUUAGCCAAAUAAUUAAUCGUCGGAUAACCACAUUAGUGGACAUUCUAGGUGCUUUUGAAACCUUCCUAGAAUGUUAAUAAGAACCUCGAACCCUUUUUUUAGUUUUCACUAGAUUUCUGUUUUAGUCUUUUGAAAACAACAGUUUUCUUGAUUUUUCUAAAAAAAAAUUAAGUGGCGACUCUUAAAUCAGUCAAGUUAUAUUUUUUUUAAUAAAACAAUGGCGGGCACUUCUUCAAUUAUCAUUGGUCAACUUACCAUUGAUCUUCCAGUAAAAUUCUUAUUCCCAUUAUUUGUUAACUGUUUUUUUCAAUUGAUUUUAGUUGAAUUAUGAAUAAGAUUGUUUAUUCUUUGUUUUGAUUAACUCGACUGCUUUUAGUUGAUUCCAAUUGCAUUGUAGGAUAAUCUGGUAAGUCACGCUGCAGUGGUAGUAGGAUUGUGCUUGUUAACCUAGGAUUUUCGAUGGGCUGAAUAUAUCCAUAAAAGAAAUUUUGUUACUCGCAUCACUAAGUGCAGUUUUCUUCUUGUUCUCUCUAGUUGGUCUUUCAUUUCCAUUUGAUUUCAUAGAGUAUGGUGGCCUAUCCCAUUUCUUGAUUGGACUUAUUUAUACUGGAGUGAACCUUUCCUCCAAAUAUGGUGUUUAAUACUUGCCGAUAUUAUCUAAAACCAUUGUUUCAUUAUUUAAAGCGAUGCAUAAUGAGGAUCAUAGCUUCAUAGUUGAAGUCAUGAACUUCAACAAAGUGUAAGCUUAAGAGUUCAGACAUGAUUGGUGAAUUGCAUAAUUUGUAACUUCACUUCUUGCACUUGGUUAGUGCUGAUUCUUUUUUCUAAUACAAUCCGUUAUCAUUAUCUAUAAAAGAAAAAAAACAAGGUGUAAGCUUCAGAAAAUGACAUGCAAAGUGAUCACAACUAGAAGUGAUCAAGAAAUCGAUUAAUACCAGCAUUAUUGUAAUUUGAUGCGAUAAUUAGUUAUUUUAGUAGUUCAUAACUGUUUGAUACUUAUUAAUACUUGAAUUGUGCGCUUCGCUAUAAUGCACUUCAUUUCUCGCUUUUCGCUUCAAGGCCCAUGAUGUUUUUUUUUCCUUUCACUUUUAAAAAUACCAGCAAUUGAGAUGUUCCCUUCUAAAAAAAAAAACACACUGGCAAUUAGGUUGUCAUAAUGAUGGUGUUGCAAUAGUUGAGAUGCGAACAAGAGACCAGCUUUAAAAAAUGAUAGUGUUGGAAGAGUCUUAUUUUCCUAAUUUUUACUCUCACAAUCGUGUGCAGUCAUUUGUCAUUUUCAAGCGGACAAAGAAUCAACAUAGGUGGAUGACCCCAAAAGUUGACACGUGGCUAAAAUACAAAACAAUAUGCCUAUAGCUAAAAGGAGAUUCCCGCAAAAUUUAGUAAGUGGCAGCGGUGGCGCUACCCAUUUCUCCGCACCAAACGAGAAGGAGUAGUAGUAGCAUUUUUAGGAAAGAAAAUAAAUCCUCGACAAUGCGGCUCCGAAGAGAAAAAAUAAAAGGGAUGCCCUAACAUCCAAAAACCUAGGGUUUCAACUGCGGCCGGAGAGUAAUUUCUUUUCUUAAUCGAUUCCUCUCACUCUCUUGGGGUCGUGUAGGACUCCGAUCUCCUUCAUCGGGAAUCGAGCUUCACGCUGCAUCUUAAUCUUCGCCAAUUGGAAUGGCGGGCACUUCUUCAAUUCUCAUUGGUCAACUUACUAUUGAUCUUCCAGUAAAAUUCUUAUUCCCAUUAUUUGUUAACUGUUUUUUUCAAUUGAUUUUAGUUGAAUUAUGAAUAAGAUUGUUUAUUCUUUGUUUUGAUUAACUCGACUGCUUUUAGUUGAUUCCAAUUGCAUUGUAGGAUAAUCUGGUAAGUCACGCUGCAGUGGUAGUAGGAUUGUGCUUGUUAACCUAGGAUUUUCGAUGGGCUGAAUAUAUCCAUAAAAGAAAUUUUGUUACUCGCAUCACUAAGUGCAGUUUUCUUCUUGUUCUCUCUAGUUGGUCUUUCAUUUCCAUUUGAUUUCAUAGAGUAUGGUGGCCUAUCCCAUUUCUUGAUUGGACUUAUUUAUACUGGAGUGAACCUUUCCUCCAAAUAUGGUGUUUAAUACUUGACGAUAUUAUCUAAAACCAUUGUUUCAUUACUUAAAGCAAUGCAUAGUGAGGAUCAUAGCUUCAUAGUUGAAGUCAUGAACUUCAACAAAAUGUAAGCUUAAGAGUUCAGACAUGAUUGGUGAAUUGCAUAAUUUGUAACUUCACUUCUUGCACUUGGUUAGUGCUGAUUCUUUUUUCUAAUACAAUCCGUUAUCAUUAUCUAUAAAAGAAAAUAACAAGGUGUAAGCUUCAGAAAAUGACACGCAAAGUGAUCACAACUAGAAGUGAUCAAGAAAUCGAUUAAUACCAGCAUUAUUGUAAUUUGAUGCGAUAAUUAGUUAUUUUAGUAGUUCAUAACUGUUUGAUACUUAUUAAUACUUGAAUUGUGCGCUUCGCCUAAAAAUAUAAUGCACUUCAUUUCUCGCUUUUCGCUUCAAGGCCCAUGAUGUUUUUUUUUUCUUUUCACUUUUAAAAUUACCAGCAAUUGAGAUGUUACCUUCUCAAAAAAAAAAAACUGCACUGGCAAUUGGGUUGUCAUAAUGAUGGUGUUGCAAUAGUUGAGGUGCGAACAAGAGACCCGCUUUAAAAAAUGAUAGUGUUGGAAGAGUCUUAUUUUCCUAAUUUUUACUCUCACAAUCGAGUCCAGUCCUUUGGUCGUUUUCAGGCGGACAAAGAAUCAACAUAGGUGGAUUACCCCAAAAGUUGACACAUGGCUAAAAUACAAAACAAUAUACCUAUAGCUAGAAGGAGAUUCCCGCAAAAUUUAGUAAGUGGCAGCGGUGGCGCUGCCCAUUUCUCCGCACCAAACGAGAAGGAGUAGUAGUAGCAUUUUUAGGAAAGAAAAUAAAUCCUCGACAAUGCGGCUCCGAAGAGAAAAAAUAAAAGGGAUGCCCUAACAUCCAAAAACCUAGGGUUUCAACUGCGGCCGGAGAGUAAUUUCUUUUCUUAAUCGAUUCCUCUCACUCUCUUGGGGUCGUGUAGGACUCCGAUCUCCUUCAUCGGGGAAUCGAGCUUCACGCUGCAUCUUAAUCUUCGCCAAUUGGAAUGGCGAUAGUAUAUAGAUUUUAUAAUAUGGUAGUAUAAUAAAUGUUAGAAUAUAGUAGUGUAAUAAAUAUUAGAAUAAAAUAAAUUUUCUUAUAUUAUCCAUAACUUUUACUUACUGAUCCUCAUUUUUGUGUUUGCAUGUGAAAUUCGUCCGGGUCCUCAUGGACUCUAUCCUCGCACUUUCCUUUGGGCCACAGAGGCCCAUAUUCCCUUUUAUCGGAGUCAUUCAGAUAUUAAAAUCGACGAACAGGUCCCGAAAUUGAAAGAAAAGCGGAGCAAAUCGGGAGUUGAAAAAGAUUGGGCCAAAGCCCACCUUUAUUUAUUCAAAAUUGUAUUUUGUUAUUAUUGGGCCUAAGCCCUUGUCAUUUUACUUACUAUUACUUGUUAGUUCCUAGGACAGGUGGAGAAAUUGGGCUUAAGGUCCAAAAGAAAGAUAUUCAUUUCAUGUUAGACUAGGACAGGUGCAGGUGACUCAAUGGGCCGAAAGCCCAAAACGAAAGUGGGCCCAAAUAUUGGCCCAGGCGGAC
RNAcentral lists this long non-coding RNA (4399 nucleotides) under Solanum tuberosum (potato). RNAcentral describes it as "long non-coding RNA (STUB_LNC003217)". Lineage: Eukaryota; Viridiplantae; Streptophyta; Magnoliopsida; Solanales; Solanaceae. The record is from RNAcentral.